AACAACGAUUUUGAUGUCUGAGUUAUUUAUUCUUAGGCCAAAAUCCUGUCACCUUAGGUCGAUCGAUACCUCAACUUUGAAGCUAAGAGAGUUCCAGCAAUGGUUGUCUGCUUAGUGGAGAUUUUUAGUUCCUAAACUUUGUCUAGUUCACAACCCAUUAGGGAUGAGACUCCUGGGCCAUUAGCUCAGGUGGUUAGAGCGCACCCCUGAUAAGGGUGAGGUCCCUGGUUCAAGUCCAGGAUGGCCCAUUCGGUGUAGGGGGUUUAGCUCAGUUGGUAGAGCGCCUGCUUUGCAAGCAGGAUGUCAGGAGUUCGAGUCUCCUAACCUCCACUGACUACCAAAAUCCCCAUCUCCAAAACCUGGAGUAUGAACUCGUAUGGAUUGUGAUUUAGAUUUGUCCGCUAGAUGACCCUAGCUUCUUGUCAUUUUAAUGCAUGGAAAUGAUUCCAUGAUUUGAUUGAUAGGAUGCUGGGCUCGAUGCAAUGUAUUGAGAGAUCAGUGCAUUGUUUUGAUGUCUAGCCGAACCUUGACAACUGCAUAGUUUAAGUCUGGGAAGAAUAAAGCAUCUUUAUGGAUGCAUCAUUUUUUCGUGUUAACGCAUGAAGGAGUGAUGUUAAUUCUAAAGCAAGAGCCGAGACUCCAGUAUGUUCUUUCAAAUGUGUCGAGCAUUUGAGAGUUUGAUUUUAAUUUCUAAUUUUAGAUUCUAAUUUUAGAAAUUAGAAGAAUCUGUUUCAACAACAGCAAGCGUGCUGGGGAUACAUUGGUCAAGCUACAAAGGGCUCACGGCGGAUACCUUGGCACACAGAGGCGAUGAAGGACGUGGUUACCUGCGAUAAGUCUCGGGGAGCUGGAAACACGCUUUGAUCCGGGA
Molecule: unclassified non-coding RNA, 871 nt
Filed under: uncultured marine cyanobacterium
Lineage: Bacteria; Bacillati; Cyanobacteriota
Description: partial 16S-23S ribosomal RNA intergenic spacer
Rfam family: Bacterial large subunit ribosomal RNA (bases 763-871)
Source: RNAcentral